Molecule: ribosomal RNA, 196 nt
Filed under: uncultured bacterium
Lineage: Bacteria
Description: partial 16S ribosomal RNA
Rfam family: Bacterial small subunit ribosomal RNA
Source: RNAcentral
AGUCUACGGGAGGCAGCAGUGAGGAAUAUUGGUCAAUGGGCGGAAGCCUGAACCAGCCAAGUAGCGUGCAGGAUGACGGCCCUAUGGGUUGUAAACCUGCUUUUAUGCGGGGAUAAAGGGGCCCACGUGUGGGCUUUUGCAGGUACCGCAUGAAUAAGGACCGGCUAAUUCCGUGCCAGCAGCCGCGGUAAUGACU